UUUGGUGACUGGACUAGAGAAGACUUAAGCAGUUGCUUUGAACUUGCCAUAACUAUGAAGGCUUGGUGUGUCCUCCUUUUCAUCACCUUUGUGGUUCUUUCUGAUCUGGGGGAAGCUGACAGGAUAAUGGAUUCAAGAGCAUGCCUUAAAAGUAAAGGAGUUUGCAGAAAGCAAUGUGCUGCCUCUGAAAAGAAGAUAGGACUUUGUCACGUCAAUGAGCCUUGCUGCCAAACGUAAGCUAAGGGGAAGGCUUCUGAUCAUGACAUGGAAAAACCAUCAUCUUCUACAUAAAUGCCUGAUGGAAUCUGGAUUAUAUAGAAGCUUUAAAAACAUGAGAAAAAUCCUUGUUGAUUUGAAUUAACAAACAAUUAAUUUCAAACAAUUAUUCUUAUUAAAAUAAUCUGGAUUUACAAA
Pantherophis guttatus is the source of this 414-nucleotide long non-coding RNA. RefSeq lists it as uncharacterized. Lineage: Eukaryota; Metazoa; Chordata; Lepidosauria; Squamata; Colubridae. The record is from RefSeq and is a predicted model, not a curated record.